This 545-nucleotide ribosomal RNA is filed under the name Colletotrichum sp. BDS-2011. RNAcentral's name for it is "eukaryotic LSU rRNA". The stretch from base 182 to 335 matches the Rfam family "5.8S ribosomal RNA". Lineage: Eukaryota; Fungi; Ascomycota; Sordariomycetes; Glomerellales; Glomerellaceae. The record is from RNAcentral.
GGAUCAUUACUGAGUUUACGCUCUAUAACCCUUUGUGAACAUACCUAUAACUGUUGCUUCGGCGGGUAGGGUCUCCGUGACCCUCCCGGCCUCCCGCCCCCGGGCGGGUCGGCGCCCGCCGGAGGAUAACCAAACUCUGAUUUAACGACGUUUCUUCUGAGUGGUACAAGCAAAUAAUCAAAACUUUUAACAACGGAUCUCUUGGUUCUGGCAUCGAUGAAGAACGCAGCGAAAUGCGAUAAGUAAUGUGAAUUGCAGAAUUCAGUGAAUCAUCGAAUCUUUGAACGCACAUUGCGCCCGCCAGCAUUCUGGCGGGCAUGCCUGUUCGAGCGUCAUUUCAACCCUCAAGCUCUGCUUGGUGUUGGGGCCCUACAGCUGAUGUAGGCCCUCAAAGGUAGUGGCGGACCCUCCCGGAGCCCUCCUUUGCGUAGUAACUUUACGUCUCGCACUGGGAUCCGGAGGGACUCUUGCCGUAAAACCCCCAAUUUUCCAAAGGUUGACCUCGGAUCAGGUAGGAAUACCCGCUGAACUUAAGCAUAUCAAUA